AACGAACGCUGGCGGCAUGCCUAAUACAUGCAAGUCGAACGAGAUCUUCGGAUCUAGUGGCGCACGGGUGCGUAACGCGUGGGAAUCUGCCCUUGGGUUCGGAAUAACUUCGGGAAACUGAAGCUAAUACCGGAUGAUGACGAAAGUCCAAAGAUUUAUCGCCCAGGGAUGAGCCCGCGUAGGAUUAGCUAGUUGGUGGGGUAAAGGCUCACCAAGGCAACGAUCCUUAGCUGGUCUGAGAGGAUGAUCAGCCACACUGGGACUGAGACACGGCCCAGACUCCUACGGGAGGCAGCAGUAGGGAAUAUUGGACAAUGGGCGAAAGCCUGAUCCAGCAAUGCCGCGUGAGUGAUGAAGGCCUUAGGGUUGUAAAGCUCUUUUACCCGAGAUGAUAAUGACAGUAUCGGGAGAAUAAGCUCCGGCUAACUCCGUGCCAGCAGCCGCGGUAAU
Molecule: ribosomal RNA, 450 nt
Filed under: uncultured bacterium
Lineage: Bacteria
Description: bacterial SSU rRNA
Rfam family: Bacterial small subunit ribosomal RNA
Source: RNAcentral